Molecule: signal recognition particle RNA, 279 nt
Filed under: Phascolarctos cinereus (koala)
Lineage: Eukaryota; Metazoa; Chordata; Mammalia; Diprotodontia; Phascolarctidae
Description: Metazoan signal recognition particle RNA (ENSPCIG00000024005.2)
Rfam family: Metazoan signal recognition particle RNA
About the family: The signal recognition particle (SRP) is a universally conserved ribonucleoprotein.
Source: RNAcentral
GCUGGGCGUGGUGGGGCACACUUGUAAUCCCAGCUGCUGGGGAGGCUGAGACUGGUAGAUCAGUUGAGCUUAGGAGUUCUGAGCUGCAGGAGGGCUAAAGCCACCCAGGGGUCUGCACGAAGUCUGGCACCAAUAUGGUGGGCCCCAGAGAGCCUAAGGAAGGGCAAACCAGCCCAGGUCAGGAUGGAGCUGGUCCAAGCUUCCAUGCCAAUCAGUAGUGGAAUCAGUCUGAGUGGUCUCUGCACUUCCAGCCUGGUGAGAUUGGGAGACCCAUUCUCA